This 171-nucleotide non-coding RNA is filed under the name Bacteroides salyersiae. The record is from RNAcentral. Lineage: Bacteria; Pseudomonadati; Bacteroidota; Bacteroidia; Bacteroidales; Bacteroidaceae.
ACGGAGGAAGAUUAAAAGGGAAUCGGGUGUAACUCCCGGACAGUCCCGCUGCUGUGAAGCUCUGUGAAACAUCUUACAAAUUAACCGGAUUCGUGCCACUGAUGGAGGUGAAAAAUCCAUCGGGAAGGCUUGUAAGAUGAGAGUCAGUCAGAAGACCUGCCAUUCGGAUAU